AACGAACGUUGGCGGCGUGGAUUAGGCAUGCAAGUCGAACGAAUCCCAGUGGGCUUGCUCGCUGGGGGAAGUGGCGAAAGGGGCAGUAAGGCAUGGGUAACCUACCCCGGGGACCGGCAUAGCCCUCCUAACGGAGGGGUAAUUCCGGGCGAUGCGUCGAGACCGCAUGAUCUUGACGUGAGAUGAAUUUCGCCUCGGGAGGGGCUCAUGUGGUAUUAGCUUGUUGGUAGGGUAACGGCCUACCAAGGCAAAGAUGCCUAGCGGGUGUGAGAGCACGACCCGCGCCACUGGCACUGAGACACUGGCCAGACUCCUACGGGAGGCUGCAGUCGAGGAUCUUCCGCAAUGGGCGCAAGCCUGACGGAGCGACGCCGCGUGUGCGAUGAAGGCCUUCGGGUUGUAAAGCACUGUGGUAGGGGAGGAAAGCGAAAGCUUGACUGUACCCUGCCAGAAAGCUCGGGCUAAGUUCGUGCCAGCCGCCGCCGUAAGAC
This 491-nucleotide ribosomal RNA is filed under the name uncultured bacterium. RNAcentral describes it as "bacterial SSU rRNA". It matches the Rfam family "Bacterial small subunit ribosomal RNA", at positions 28 to 526 of the family's 1533-position model. The record is from RNAcentral.